UACGGGGGGGCAAGCGUUGUUCGGCAUUCCUGGGCGUAAAGGGUCUGUAGGUGGCUUGCUAAGUCAGACGUGAAAUCCCUCAGCUUAACUGGGGAACUGCGUCUGAGACUGGCGAGCUUGAGGGCAGGAGAGGAACGCGGAAUUCCAGGUGUAGCGGUGAAAUGCGUAGAUAUCUGGAGGAACACCGGUGGCGAAGGCGGCGUUCUGGACUGCAUCUGACACUGAAAGACGAAAGCCAGGGGAGCAAACGGG
RNAcentral lists this ribosomal RNA (252 nucleotides) under uncultured bacterium. RNAcentral describes it as "partial 16S ribosomal RNA". It matches the Rfam family "Bacterial small subunit ribosomal RNA", at positions 524 to 776 of the family's 1533-position model. The record is from RNAcentral.